RNAcentral lists this ribosomal RNA (830 nucleotides) under Frigoribacterium sp. 070605-23_B15_31. Its description in RNAcentral is "bacterial SSU rRNA". It matches the Rfam family "Bacterial small subunit ribosomal RNA", at positions 117 to 841 of the family's 1533-position model. The record is from RNAcentral. Lineage: Bacteria; Bacillati; Actinomycetota; Actinomycetes; Micrococcales; Microbacteriaceae.
GUGGGCAGCCUACAANGNCAAGNUCGNAGACGGNUUACUUAGUACACACUCGGCCUCCAUUCGUGAGACAGUAGCGCAGAAGGGUGAUCAUACACACACUGACGUAGCUAGACCCUGUCCCCAGGAGCGGUGUUGACUCUUCAUAUGGGAAAAGCGCCCCUCAUACCAAAAUAUAAGCUUCAGCCGCUUGGUGAUGAUUUGGACAGAGUAUAGACUGGGAUGGACUCACAACCUAUCAGUUGGUUAGGGAGGUAAUGGCUCAACAGGCCAACCAUGGGUAGCCUGACAGAAAGAUUGACCGGCCUGCACUGUGACAGAGAGACCGACCUCAUUCCUAAGGCAGGAAUGAGGGGUUAAUAUCGCUACAAUGAGAGCAUGAUCCAUCCAUCCACCCCGCGUGAGGAACGACGGCCUUCAGGUAAGUAAACCUCUUUUAGUAGGAAAGACGCGAAACUGAUGGUUCCUGCAGAAAAAGCACCGGCUAACUACUUGCCAGCACCCUCCCAAAUACAUAGGAAGGAAGCAUUGUCCGGAAUUAAUGCGCAUAAAGAGCUCUUAGGCGGUUUGUCGCGUCUGCUGUGAAAAAAAGAGGCAUAACCACCGCCCAGCUGUGGGUUACGGCCUGACUACAUUGCGUUAUGGAGAAAUUGAAAUUCCUCCGGAAUGAAUGGAUUGCUCUCAUAACUGGAGGAACACCACUGGUGAAGGAAAAUCUCUGGUCCGUCACUGACUCUGAAGAGCGAAAGCAUGGGGAGCGAACAGGAUUGCAUACCCUGCUAGUCCAUCCCGUAGACUAUGCCAACAAGAAGUCGGGAUCAUUCCUCGGUCUC